RNAcentral lists this ribosomal RNA (1358 nucleotides) under uncultured bacterium. RNAcentral's name for it is "bacterial SSU rRNA". It matches the Rfam family "Bacterial small subunit ribosomal RNA", at positions 28 to 1381 of the family's 1533-position model. The record is from RNAcentral.
AUUGAACGCUGGCGGCAGGCUUAACACAUGCAAGUCGAACGAUGAUUAUCUAGCUUACUAGAUAUGAUUAGUGGCGGACGGGUGAGUAACAUUUAGGAAUCUGCCUAGUAGUGGGGGAUAGCUCGGGGAAACUCGAAUUAAUACCGCAUACGACCUACGGGUGAAAGGGGGCGCAAGCUCUUGCUAUUAGAUGAGCCUAAAUCAGAUUAGCUAGUUGGUGGGGUAAAGGCCCACCAAGGCGACGAUCUGUAACUGGUCUGAGAGGAUGAUCAGUCACACCGGAACUGAGACACGGUCCGGACUCCUACGGGAGGCAGCAGUGGGGAAUAUUGGACAAUGGGGGCAACCCUGAUCCAGCCAUGCCGCGUGUGUGAAGAAGGCCUUUUGGUUGUAAAGCACUUUAAGCAGGGAGGAGAGGCUAAUGGUUAAUACCCAUUAGAUUAGACGUUACCUGCAGAAUAAGCACCGGCUAACUCUGUGCCAGCAGCCGCGGUAAUACAGAGGGUGCGAGCGUUAAUCGGAAUUACUGGGCGUAAAGCGAGUGUAGGUGGCUCAUUAAGUCACAUGUGAAAUCCCCGGGCUUAACCUGGGAACUGCAUGUGAUACUGGUAGUGCUAGAAUAUGUGAGAGGGAAGUAGAAUUCCCGGUGUAGCGGUGAAAUGCGUAGAGAUCUGGAGGAAUACCGAUGGCGAAGCCAGCUUCCUGGCAUAAUAUUGACACUGAGAUUCGAAAGCGUGGGUAGCAGACAGGAUUAGAUACCCUGGUAGUCCACGCAGUAAACGAUGUCUACUAGCCGUUGGGCAUCCUUGAGCCUUUAGAGGCUCAGUUACAGCGAUAACUAGACCUCGUGGGCAGUACGGCCGCAAGGUCUAAAACUCAAAUCAAUUGACGGGGGCCCGCACAACCCGUGCAGCAUGUCAGUUUAAUUCGAUGCAACGCGAAGAACGUUCCCUGGUCUUGCCAUAGUGUGAAUCCUGCAGAGAUGCGGGAGUGCCUUCGCGAACUCACAUACAGGUGCUGCAUGGCUGUCGUCAUCUCGUGUCGUGAGAUGUUGGGUUAAGUCCCGCAACGAGCGCAACCCUUUUCUUUAUUUUCCACCGGGGUAAGCCGGGAGCUUUAAGGAUGCUGCCAGCGACAACCUGGAGGAAGGCGGGGAGGACGUCAACUCAUCAUCACCCUCACGACCAGGGCUACACACGUGCUACAACGGUAGGUACAGAGGGGUGCUACACAGCGAUGUGAUGAUAAUCUCAAAAAGCCUAUCGUAGUCCGGAUGGGAGUGUGCAACUCGUCUCCACGAAGUCGGAAUCGCUAGUAAUCGCGGAUCACAAUGCCGCGGUGAAUAUGUUCCCGGGCCU